GUGCCAGCAGCCGCGGUAAGACGAACCGUACGAACGUUAUUCGGAAUCACUGGGCUUAAAGGGUGCGUAGGCUGUGCGGAAAGUUGGGUGUGAAAUCCCUCGGCUUAACCGAGGAACUGCGCCCAAAACUACCGUGCUCGAGGGAGACAGAGGUGAGCGGAACUUAGGGUGGAGCGGUGAAAUGCGUUGAUAUCCUAAGGAACACCGGUGGCGAAAGCGGCUCACUGGGUCUCUUCUGACGCUGAGGCACGAAAGCUAGGGGAGCGAACGGGAUUAGAAACCCUCGUAGUCC
Molecule: ribosomal RNA, 292 nt
Filed under: uncultured bacterium
Lineage: Bacteria
Description: partial 16S ribosomal RNA
Rfam family: Bacterial small subunit ribosomal RNA
Source: RNAcentral